CAGCCCUAAACGAUGCGCGUUAGGUGUAUCGGUGACCACGAGUCACCGAGGUGCCGAGGGGAAACCGUGAAACGUGCCGCCUGGGAAGUACGGUCGCAAGGCUGAAACUUAAAGGAAUUGGCGGGGGAGCACCACAACGGGUGGAGCUUGCGGUUUAAUUGGAUUCAACGCCGGAAAUCUUACCGGGACCGACAGCAACAUGAAGGCCAGGCUGAAGACUUUGCCGGAUUAGCUGAGAGGAGGUGCAUGGCGUGUGACUGU
RNAcentral lists this ribosomal RNA (261 nucleotides) under uncultured archaeon. RNAcentral describes it as "partial 16S ribosomal RNA". It matches the Rfam family "Archaeal small subunit ribosomal RNA", at positions 748 to 1008 of the family's 1478-position model. The record is from RNAcentral.